AAUAGCGCAGUGGUAGCGCGUCGGUCUCAUAGUUAAUCCGAAAGUCGUGAGUUCGAAUCUCACUUG
This 66-nucleotide transfer RNA is filed under the name Chlorarachnion reptans. It matches the Rfam family "tRNA", at positions 6 to 65 of the family's 71-position model. From Rfam's summary of the family: Transfer RNA (tRNA) molecules are approximately 80 nucleotides in length. Their secondary structure includes four short double-helical elements and three loops (D, anti-codon, and T loops). Lineage: Eukaryota; Cercozoa; Chlorarachniophyceae. The record is from RNAcentral.